CAAUAUAUGAGACCGGCGCACGGGUGCGUAACGCGUAUGCAACCUACCUUUUACAGGGGAAUAGCCCAGAGAAAUUUGGAUUAAUGCCCCAUGGUAUAUUUCAGUGGCAUCACUGGAUUAUUAAAGUUCCAACGGUAAAAGAUGGGCAUGCGUCCCAUUAGCUAGAUGGUAAGGUAACGGCUUACCAUGGCUACGAUGGGUAGGGGUCCUGAGAGGGAGAUCCCCCACACUGGUACUGAGACACGGACCAGACUCCUACGGGAGGCAGCAGUGAGGAAUAUUGGACAAUGGGCGCAAGCCUGAUCCAGCCAUGCCGCGUGCAGGAAGAAGCAUCUAUGGUGUGUAAACUGCUUUUGUACGGGAAGAAACACCUCUACGUGUAGAGGCUUGACGGUACCGUAAGAAUAAGGAUCGGCUAACUCCGUGCCAGCAGCCGCGGUAAUACGGAGGAUCCAAGCGUUAUCCGGAAUCAUUGGGUUUAAAGGGUCCGUAGGCGGUUUGGUAAGUCAGUGGUGAAAGCCCAUCGCUUAACGAUGGAACGGCCAUUGAUACUGCCAGACUUGAAUUACUGGGAAGUAACUAGAAUAUGUAGUGUAGCGGUGAAAUGCUUAGAUAUUACAUGGAAUACCAAUUGCGAAGGCAGGUUACUACCAGUUGAUUGACGCUGAUG
This 670-nucleotide ribosomal RNA is filed under the name uncultured Bacteroidota bacterium. Its description in RNAcentral is "bacterial SSU rRNA". It matches the Rfam family "Bacterial small subunit ribosomal RNA", at positions 83 to 751 of the family's 1533-position model. The record is from RNAcentral. Lineage: Bacteria; Pseudomonadati; Bacteroidota.